RNAcentral lists this ribosomal RNA (403 nucleotides) under Fusobacteriota bacterium. Its description in RNAcentral is "Fusobacteria bacterium partial 16S ribosomal RNA". It matches the Rfam family "Bacterial small subunit ribosomal RNA", at positions 355 to 776 of the family's 1533-position model. The record is from RNAcentral. Lineage: Bacteria; Fusobacteriati; Fusobacteriota.
UGGGGAAUAUUGCACAAUGGGGGAAACCCUGAUGCAGCGACGCCGCGUGAGCGAAGAAGGUUUUCGAAUCGUAAAGCUCUGUCCUAUGGGAAGAUAAUGACGGUACCAUAGGAGGAAGCCCCGGCUAACUACGUGCCAGCAGCCGCGGUAAUACGUAGGGGGCAAGCGUUGUCCGGAAUCACUGGGCGUAAAGGGUUCGCAGGCGGAAAUGCAAGUCAGUUGUGAAAGGCAGAGGCUCAACCUCUGUAAGCAAUUGAAACUGUAUUUCUUGAGAUGUGGAGAGGCAAGUGGAAUUCCUAGUGUAGCGGUGAAAUGCGUAGAUAUUAGGUAGAAUACCGGUGGCGAAGGCGACUUGCUGGACACAAACUGACGCUGAGGAACGAAAGCGUGGGUAGCAAACAGG